RNAcentral lists this ribosomal RNA (253 nucleotides) under uncultured bacterium. Its description in RNAcentral is "partial 16S ribosomal RNA". It matches the Rfam family "Bacterial small subunit ribosomal RNA", at positions 524 to 776 of the family's 1533-position model. The record is from RNAcentral.
UACGGGGGGGGCAAGCGUUGUUCGGAAUUACUGGGCGUAAAGGGCUCGUAGGCGGCCAACUAAGUCGGAUGUGACAUCCCCAGGCUCAACUUGGGAACUGCAUCCGAUACUGGAUGGCUUGAAUUCGGGAGAGGGAUGCAGAAUUCCAGGUGUAGCGGUGAAAUGCGUAGAUAUCUGGAGGAAUACCGGUGGCGAAGGCGGCAUCCUGGACCGACAUUGACGCUGAGGAGCGAAAGCUAGGGGAGCAAACGGG